UCUGCUUGGUGAUGAGAAUUCUAGGUGGAAUAGGACAUAGUCCUUGCCUUCAAAGAGUUGACUGUCUAAGGGCGGGGAGAAGGACAUGAAAAGCAAUGAUUCCAGAACAAUGUGGAGUUACAGCAUUCUGAGGGGACUGUGGGAACCCAGAGUGGUGGCCCUAGGACCAGAGCUCCACUUCUCACUCAGCUCCAGGUCCCUUGCUUCAUGUCCAUGAGCUCUGAGUAGAAGAAAGUUUGUUUUAACAACGACAACAAAAAAAACCCUGCCUACUGAGCUGUUCAUCAGAGCUACAUUGUGAUUUAAAAGAAAGUGUAGUCUUACAAUCUUAUGUGCAUUAAUAAGAAAAAAUCCUAACUGCGCCUGGCAUUUGGGCAGAUCCCAACAGAGCCUUCGCACAUCUCACAUCACACACAAUCUCAUGACACAUGGCCCCACCACCAGUCCUGAGGAAGGCAGCCACCUUUCACCCAGAGCCUCUGACUUCCAACCCCUUCACUGAGCCACUAAAUGAGACAUAUUCUGGCUGGAGCCUCUGGAGAACCAGACCAAGAAUGGACUUUGCCACCAGCAUGCACCAAUUGGCCCUAUGCCAACUCAGAAUACUGGUUAAAAGGUGUGUCCAGAUCUAAUGAGAGCCUAAGAGGCACCUUUCUACCUGCAUGAUAGAGAAGCGAGCACAGACCUGGGUGUUACUUAAGUCCUCUGAGCCUUAGGUUGCCCAUCUGUGCAAUGGGAAUCAUCAUCAUCACAUAGAGGAGGCCAGCUGUGUGUCAGCUGCUGACCUGAGGGCUUGGUUAGUCCUCACAGCAUCCUGUGAAUUACCAGUGAUAAUGACUCCAUUUUACAGAUGGAGAAAUUGAGGACUGGAGAGCUUAAGUCUCCUUGCCCAAGGCCACCCAACUAGUGAGCAGGAGGGGUGAGAUUCAGCCUCAGAUGGCCUCCAGGAAAUCGGCACAAUUAACGCUCUGCUACAACAUUUCCGAGGAGGAACUGAGACUCUCCACACACAGUCAGUCCCCUCUCUUGAUUCCACCCCCUUUCCUUGUGUCUCCUGGGUUCCUGACCAGGUGGCCUCCUACUCUCUGGCCUUCUGUGGCUCUUAGGAUCUGCCAGGUCCCCCUGUAACCCUCAGCGUCUGCCCCAGGAGACCUGUUUUCUCAGGGCUUCAGAGCCCCCAGAGUCCCACUAACCUCCUCAGGGCAGCUCAAGGCUCUUGGUCCCCCAUCCCUCAGCUCCCACACCCCAGCAAUACCACCCUUCCCUUCCAGCCCCCCGGGGAGGCAGUGGAGUGUGAUGGCUUUCAGCCCGGUUUUCCUAGGAGAGAGGAGAGGAGGGGGCCUGGAAGGUUCCUUCCUCUGCUUCUGUCCUGGCCAACUCAGCCAAGAGGGCCACUAGAGAGCAAAAGCAUCCAGCACAGCUGACCUUCACCGAGGACUCAGGGCACCAGAAAUCUUCCAGGCAAAAUCUCCCCUCCUCCUCCCCAGAAACUUGCAGUGAGUGUUGCUCCCCACCCCCACCCCCAUUUUAUACACAAAGAACAGUGCCCAAUUCCGCCUAACUAGCGAGUGGCAGAGGGGGAAUUCAAACCCCUGUCCAUCUGCUGCAGCACCCACGCCCUCUCUAUUUCCACACACGAGGAGAGGUAAAGGGCCAGCGAGUGUUGAGUGGCUCCAAAUGUCACCCUUAGCCCAGCAGCGGUAGCCUCACAGGGAGCUUGUUAGAAAUACGGACUCUCAGGUCCCUCCCUAGACCUACUGAGUGGGAGCCUGUGUUUAAACAAGAUCCCAGGGGAUUUCAAAGCCCAUCAAAGCUUGGGAAGCCUAGGUCUGGGUCCGUAGUUCGCCACUCUGGCUGAACAGUGGAGUCAGCUCGGGAACUUCACAAAAUGCAAGUGGUGCCCGGACUCCACCCCUGUGGCUCCGAGUUCAUUGGUCUGGACAUCAGGAAUUUUUACAUCUCCCAGUGAUUCUAAUGGACAGCCACCUCUGAGAAGCGCCAGGCAAGAGAAGGGGAAAUCCUGAAGGCAGUGCGGGGGGGAAGUGGCCACCAGCGACUUGCCACCCCUCCCGAAACAGAGCCAGCGGAGGAGGGUGUGACGAGCAUCAGGGAGGCGGGGAGACACAGUGACAGGACGGUGACAGUUUGGGUGUCCUUUCCGCAGGUGCGCGCCAGGGGGCGGAGGGACAGGGGUUUCCUCCUUGAGAACUCGGGCUGUCCUGCAGCCAGGGAAGGCCGCGACCUCUGGGGGUCCCUGCCCGCAUCCAGCGCCCCUUGCCGAGGGAAGCCGGCUCGGCAAGCGGUGCGCGCAGGCUCAGAGGCGUGAGAGCGGGCUGGGCGGCGGCGUGGCCGGGAGCCGAUGACUCACAGGGCGGGGGCGGCUGGGGGCGGCCGCGGAGCCAACUGCAGCAGCCGCUGGCCCAGCCUGCCCCGCAACAGCCAGAGCGGCUCCGGGAGGGAAAGGAGCGAGGCGGCUCCCAGGUGUGGCGCGGCCCUGGGAGGGCGCGUGCGAGCGCUUCUUUGUUUGGUGCGCGCACAGCCCCCGGCCCCAGGCCUGAGCGCCAGCCAUCCCGAGCUGAGUCACGGCUGCAGAGCCCGCGGGCGGCCACACGGCCCCGCCCGGAAGGAUGCGGCCCUUUCCUGAAGCUGGCGAGUCAGAUGCGGUGGCAGGGACAAAAGCCAGGGGAAGGUGGCGUCUAUUCUACAAAGCCCUUUAGGGAAGAGGGAAGUCAGGCCUCCCUCACCCAGUGCGAGUCCGUCACGAUGGUCACCCAGGCAGUCAUGCAGAAAGCCAGCUAGCGGCCGCAAGCCCUGAGGAUGCCACCCCCAAGGGGCUCAUUGCUUUGAGUCACCGGUCCAGGGGCUUGAGGCAAAGAUCCAAGACAGACCUGUAGCAGCAUGGCCCAAAAGGUUCCUCUGCUGCCCCAGUCCCAUACCCGCCUGAGGUAUGGGGAUUCAGGCUGAGUCGGCUGACCUGCAGUCAUCUGGAAGCCUUGUCAGAAAUGCAGAUUCUGCAGUGCUGUUCCCAGAGGAUGAGAUUCAGCAGAACUGGAUCAAGCUCACUAAGACAAUGAUCAAAGACCUGUAAAACUCUGAACUUCUUGAGACAAUAAGGAUACCUCUAACAGACUUGGGAAGAAGUCCUGCACAAAGAGCUGGGGGAAAACGGGAAGAAAAACACACAGAAUACCCACCCCUUCAAGGCAGGCACUGGCAGACCUUCCACUGUGCACCAGGUUCUGUGCUAAGCUUCACCUUGGAGUAACCCUGCCUCUGGGGGUGAAGCUAUUAUAUCUGGGUGCGUAUUGGCCAGCCGACCCUCCAGGCAGCCCUUAAUUCUUGCUUCUCAAACUUACUUCCAAGGACGGAGAAAGAUGACCACUGCUCUCACCCCACUAAAGAAACUCCAGCACUUAGCAAGCAUCUAUGGCCCAGAGCAGACUGUCUCUACUUCAUUUUACUCUCCACACCCAGACUUGGACCACACUUGGAAAAGAACCAGCCAGUGCUGGAGGCUGCAUAUUGUGGAUAGCAGGACUCCACUCACAUCUCAAAGCUCCUCCCUGCCCAUUCCCAUGGUCCCUCCAGCCCUUGGGCAAUGCUACCAAUAGGAAGGAAAAAUGAGCUGGAUUUCACUUCCUUUGGUGCAGAUGUGAAUAAACAGAAUUGGCCCAAA
Molecule: long non-coding RNA, 3676 nt
Organism: Chlorocebus sabaeus (green monkey)
Lineage: Eukaryota; Metazoa; Chordata; Mammalia; Primates; Cercopithecidae
Source: RefSeq, a predicted model, not a curated record